RNAcentral lists this ribosomal RNA (617 nucleotides) under uncultured bacterium. RNAcentral describes it as "bacterial SSU rRNA". It matches the Rfam family "Bacterial small subunit ribosomal RNA", at positions 338 to 945 of the family's 1533-position model. The record is from RNAcentral.
CCUACGGGAGGCAGCAGUGGGGAAUUUUGGACAAUGGGCGCAAGCCUGAUCCAGCAAUGCCGCGUGAGUGAAGAAGGCCUUCGGGUUGUAAAGCUCUUUUGUCAGGGAAGAAACGGCUGAGGUUAAUACCUUUGGCUAAUGACGGUACCUGAAGAAUAAGCACCGGCUAACUACGUGCCAGCAGCCGCGGUAAUACGUAGGGUGCAAGCGUUAAUCGGAAUUACUGGGCGUAAAGCGUGCGCAGGCGGUUUUGUAAGUCUGACGUGAAAUCCCCGGGCUCAACCUGGGAAUUGCGUUGGAGACUGCAAGGCUGGAGUCUGGCAGAGGGGGGUAGAAUUCCACGUGUAGCAGUGAAAUGCGUAGAGAUGUGGAGGAACACCGAUGGCGAAGGCAGCCCCCUGGGUCAAGACUGACGCUCAUGCACGAAAGCGUGGGGAGCAAACAGGAUUAGAUACCCUGGUAGUCCACGCCCUAAACGAUGUCUACUAGUUGUCGGGUCUUAAUUGACUUGGUAACGCAGCUAACGCGUGAAGUAGACCGCCUGGGGAGUACGGUCGCAAGNUUAAAACUUCAAAUUGAAUUGACGGNUUGNGAGNGCGAGCGACGACGAGGAGAGG